Molecule: ribosomal RNA, 253 nt
Filed under: uncultured bacterium
Lineage: Bacteria
Description: partial 16S ribosomal RNA
Rfam family: Bacterial small subunit ribosomal RNA
Source: RNAcentral
UACGGAGGGGGCGAGCGUUGUCCGAAGUUACUGGGCGUAAAGCGCGCGUAGGCGGGUUGCCAAGUCCGCUGUGAAAGCCCGAGGCUCAACCUCGGAGGGUCGGUGGAUACUGGCAGUCUUGAAGUUGCUAGGGGGAGAUGGAAUUACCGGUGUAGCGGUGAAAUGCGUAGAGAUCGGUAGGAACACCAGUGGCGAAGGCGGUUACCUGGAGCUUUGCUGACGCUGAUGCGCGAAAGCGUGGGGAGCGAUCCGG